RNAcentral lists this unclassified non-coding RNA (853 nucleotides) under Leishmania donovani. RNAcentral describes it as "gene:unknown". The record is from RNAcentral. Lineage: Eukaryota; Euglenozoa; Kinetoplastea; Trypanosomatida; Trypanosomatidae.
CUCCGCCCCCGCCUCCGCCUCUGCCGUUUGGCGCGGGAGGGCAGAAGGCGAGCAGCGCAGCAGGCGAACGAACGAUACAGGGGAAGCUCCGUCCGCGCUUCCAUCCCCACGUCAUCUCUCUCGCUCCAUUCUGAGAAUCAGGUGGGUGCCCGGUGGCACUCAGCAUACGCGGUGGGGCAGCACCAAUACACGGAACCGAAGGAACAAGAAAAUAAGCUUGCACCUUGUAGGGAGGACUGCAAGCUACUAGGCCACUGCUUGGAAGAGGACGAGGAGGGCGAGAGGAGGAAACCGAGCGCCCACCUUUGUACAGCCUAGCGGGCUACCACACUCUCUCCCUCUCGUCGGUGUGCGGUUGCCUUUUUUUUCCGUCGUUAUCACACGUCUUGCUUUGGGCUCUUUUGUUUUUCCUUCCUUUCUUCGCCGUGAUCAUUUAGGACACCUCAGUGCGUGGUAUCUCGGUGCUCAGUACACCCCUACUCGCUCUGUCGGCGCGGGGGAGGGAGUGGGGGCGGGGAAGCCAAGCAGCCCUCCCUUCCUGUGCCUGCGAAAUGCCGAGCCCACCGCUGGUGAUGACAGGGUGAAGCGCCUGCCGCCUAGGCAGGUGGGUGCGACGUAUCACUGCGGAUGUCGGUGGUCAGGUCCUGGACGGGGAUGCGUCGGAGCGACCGGCGACAGAGAGCACGCUUGCGCCACCCAUGCGAUGGGCCGAGGUGCCAGCAUGGCUCGAGUGCAUCUCACGCGCCCCUCGCACUGCCUACUGGUUGGGGCAGCCUGGGCGUCACGCCGAGGUGUAGGGACGAGGGGGGGGUGGUUGUGGUGGUGCACCCGGGGUGGCGACUGGCAUGAUGGG